GAAGCGGAAGUGGCGUCCUGCCUGGAGCACAAGCUGCGGCCAGUGUCUACCAGAAAUACAGAAAAAUUUGACUCCCAUCGGCUAAAAGACCGAAGAACAAGAGACUGAGGCGCAUAUUUUACACGGCAGAGCUAACCAGGUCUCCAGGCCUUCCCAGCUGUAAUGGUUUGUAUAUCCUUGGACCAGGGAGUGGCACCAUCUGGAGGUGUGGCCUUGUUGGAAUAGAUGUGACCUGGUUGGAGAAGGUGUGUCACUGUGGGUGUGGACAUAAGAUCCUCACCUUAGUUGUCUAGAAGUCAGUCUUCCACUAGCAUCCUGUGCAGAGGAUGAAGACAUAGAACUCUCAGCUCCUCCUGCGCCAUGCCUGCCUGGAUACUGCCAUGCUCCCACCUUGAUGAUAAUGGACUGAACCUCUGAACCUGUAAGCCAGCCCCAAGUAAUGUUGUUUUUUUAUAAGACUUGCCUUGGUCAUGGUGUCUGUUCACAGCAGUAAAACCCUAACUAAGACACCAGCAUCUCUCAGACCCUACCUGGCAUACCAUACCCUGCCCUCAACCCUGAAGUUUCCAGCCCAGGGCUGAGCUGCCCUUUACCCAGAGGCUCCUCCUUACAUAAACCAGACACACACACACACACUCACACACUCUCUCUCUCUCCCUCUCUCUCUCCUGCUCUUCUCGUUCUCUCUUUCUUUUUCCCCUCUCCUUUCUCUCAUCCUCUUCUCUUCUUUCUUUGCGGGGCUCACCCUUUCACCCUUUCUCUCCUUGUUCCUCUCCUCCCCACGGUGACUUCCCUGGCAUCCUUCCUUGGGGCCAGUGAACUUGCCCACUCCUCCAGAGCAGCUUCCCAAUAAACCUUCCUUUAAUAUAUUCUAA
Molecule: long non-coding RNA, 875 nt
Organism: Mus musculus (house mouse)
Lineage: Eukaryota; Metazoa; Chordata; Mammalia; Rodentia; Muridae
Product: predicted gene, 53210
Exons: 2
Source: RefSeq, marked validated